RNAcentral lists this microRNA precursor (99 nucleotides) under Vicugna pacos (alpaca). Its description in RNAcentral is "miRNA (ENSVPAG00000017849.1)". Lineage: Eukaryota; Metazoa; Chordata; Mammalia; Artiodactyla; Camelidae. The record is from RNAcentral.
AUCACCUGGGAAUCGUGCUACAGUGCAGAUUCUGGUUCGGUAGGUCUGAUACGGGCUUGAAGAUUCUGCAUUUCUAACAAGCUCCCAGGUGAUACCAGU